CCAUCCUUUUGUCGCCGGAGAACGGAACCUAUAGCUGUGGGCUGUGUUGUCGUGGAGAGGACGUUCACGAUCCUGUUAUCCUUCCAGGCGGUUGCUGUCACGGGGCCCUUCUGGACUGUCUUACUGGUACCUCUGUGUAAAGGAGGAAAACCUUUCCUGUCUCUGCGAGCAGUCCCACAACCAUAGAUUCCGUCCUCCAACAAAUCCUCGAGCAGUUUGACGUUGGUGAAGAAGUUGUCAAAGUAGACGUGGUGGUUCUUCCUCUUCAACUCGCUUGUCAAUUUCUUCACCACGUGUUCCCCGAGGCCGACAUGACGUAUUUCCUGCUUCCCCGUAUACACAUCGAAACGACUGAAGUACCCAUUGGUACUAUCUCCCAGUACCCACACUUUGAUCCCACGCUUGAUCGGCUUCAUAGGCAUAUACUGCUUGAGAGCGGACCGACCCUGAAAUUUGAUCAUUGCUGUGGAUAUUGCUUCAUCCACAGCAAGAUUCUUGGAUGGAUUAUACAAGGCUGAGAAUUGCAAGCUGAAAUGAUCAAUCACAGGGCGGACCUUACCCAGCCGAUCAAACGUGGGACUUCCUCUCGGAGCAAGAUGUUGGUUGUUGACAAAGUGCAGGUACCGAGAGAUUUCCCUGAAGCGCCACCGAGGAAUCCUUGUCGUGAUGGGGGCGUAGUGUGUAAGAGGGUCUCUACUCCAAUAGUCGUCCAGAGAUGUUCUUCGUUGACGAAGAGGUGAAAAAUGUGUAGCGGGCAAUCAGAGAUCUCUACAGUGGGACCGGUCAGGGAUGUAAAGUCGUUUACUGUGACAGUCGUCAGGUUCUCAGACCAUUGGGUUCUUCUGGGUCCUCCUCAUCAUCGGACAAUAUAUCGCCAAGUACCUCCUCCACAGUGAAGUGCUGUCUCUUGGUCAUUCUUCAAGUUUUAGAUAGUUAGAAUUAAUUUACAUGUAUUUUAUUUUAUUAUGUGGUAGU
Long non-coding RNA from Halichondria panicea, 975 nucleotides. RefSeq lists it as uncharacterized. NCBI's taxonomy places the organism in Eukaryota, Metazoa, Porifera, Demospongiae, Suberitida, Halichondriidae. The record is from RefSeq and is a predicted model, not a curated record. The transcript is spliced from 4 exons.